ACUCUCAGUGCGGAUCUUGGUGGGAGUAGCAACUAUUCAAAUGAGAACUUUGAAGACUGAAGUGGAGAAGGGUUUCAUGAGAACAUCAAUUGGUCAUGAGUGACUCGGUCCUAAGGUCAGGGGUAGUCCCGCGAAGACGCAGUCCAGGCCGAAAGGGAAGAUGGUCAAAAUUCCAUCAGCUAGCGGUGGGUGCUGUGUGGCAACACUACUGAACUCAGAGACGUCGGGGCGAGGUCCCAGGGAGAGUUCUCUUCUCUUCUUAACAAAUCGCUGCCCUGGAGGUCAUUGCGACGAGAUAGGGCUUUAGAUUUGGCAGAGCAGCACGCCUCCUGUGCUGUCUGGUGUACCUCCUUCGGCCCUUGAAAAUCUGAGGGAAACCUUAUCGCACGCUAGGCCGUACCGAUAACCGCAUCAGGUCUCCAAGGUGAACAGCCUCUAGUCGAUAGAAUAAAGUAGAUAAGGGAAUUCGGCAAAAUAGAUCUGUAACUUUGGGAAAAAGAUUGGCUCUGAGGGUUAGGCCGUAGU
Molecule: ribosomal RNA, 525 nt
Filed under: Oxyrrhis marina
Lineage: Eukaryota; Dinophyceae; Oxyrrhinales; Oxyrrhinaceae
Description: partial Eukaryotic large subunit ribosomal RNA
Rfam family: Eukaryotic large subunit ribosomal RNA
Source: RNAcentral